RNAcentral lists this long non-coding RNA (848 nucleotides) under Erythranthe guttata (spotted monkey flower). Its description in RNAcentral is "long non-coding RNA (EGUT_LNC000563)". Lineage: Eukaryota; Viridiplantae; Streptophyta; Magnoliopsida; Lamiales; Phrymaceae. The record is from RNAcentral.
GCAAAUAUUGGAUACUUGAAGCAAUUGUAUGAUUUGUGGUUUUUGGUAAUAGUGAGUGACUAAGUGCCGUUGAAUGUUAAGCUUGCGAAUACCUAUGAAUUGUCAUCAUAAUUGCAAAUUCUGAAAACGCUAAGUUGACCCAUCGAUCUAUGUAAUGAGAUGCAUGGUUUUGGUUUGUGUUCUUGAUUUGAGUUUACUUGAGGACAAGCAAAAGUUCAAGUUUGGGGGUGUGUUAAGUGUAUAUUUAUACACUUAAUUAUACCUUUUAAUUGGAGCUUUUGGUGUGUUUUUACGAUAAUUGGUGCUUAAUUUGGUUAUUAUUUGUAUUUUAGGUGCAAAUUGAAGAAUUGACAACUUUUGGGGUGAAAACUGCAAAUUCAGAGAAAAAGUGGGCCAAAAGUGAAAAAAUCAGAAAUCUGGAGAAUUAAAGACCGCACGGCCGUGCGGAUUUUAGUUCAAAAUCUCACACGGCCGUCCGGGCUGACGUGAUGGCGCAGUGAAGGGAACUCAAUUAUACAAGGAAACCCGCCCUAUUAGACUUUUGCACCCUAUUUAAAGGCCACAAGCACACAAUUAGACGGAUCCUAUCUUUUACCUUUCAUCUUUAUUUUAGUUUUUAGCUUUUAUCUUUCGACACGCAAUCAAGGAGCAAGAACGAAGACGAAGACUUGACGACUCUUCAUUAUAGUUCUCCUUUUUUAUUGUUUUUAUGAUUUUUCGUAUUUUCAUUAUGUUUUCCGUAACGAACAUGAGUAGCUAAGUUUUUAUUCUAGGAUUUUAUUGGAACCCUAUGUGGUGAUUCGAACCUCUUUUUCGACUUUUAUGCAAGUUUAAUUCUUCGAUUAUUU